UCAUACCAGUCGGGGCGGUAGCGGUGCCUUGUACCUGAAAUCCGCUAUAGCAGGGAUUCAUUCCUCCUUCGAGGGUUGCUCUUGUGUAGUCUGCACCGUCUUUUUCUGUGAUGAAGGAUGGGUCUUGCGCAAUGCGAGGCCGUGAACCAUGUCAGGUGGGGAACCAAGCAGCAUUAAGCGGUUUACCGUGUGUGCCGCAGGGGUGCCUGUCCGGAGCAGAAGGGGCGGUUACCGUGCGUAAGGGUAUAUUCGACAAGGGGGUGUAUGG
Molecule: signal recognition particle RNA, 268 nt
Filed under: Clostridia bacterium
Lineage: Bacteria; Bacillati; Bacillota; Clostridia
Description: signal recognition particle sRNA large type
Rfam family: Bacterial large signal recognition particle RNA
About the family: The signal recognition particle (SRP) is a universally conserved ribonucleoprotein involved in the co-translational targeting of proteins to membranes. Archaeal SRP consists of a 7S RNA and homologues of the eukaryotic SRP19 and SRP54 proteins. In most bacteria, the SRP consists of a 4.5S RNA and the Ffh protein (a homologue of the eukaryotic SRP54 protein).
Source: RNAcentral